CAGCCGUAAACUAUGCGCGUUAGGUGUAUCGGUGACCACGAGUUACCGAGGUGCCGAAGGGAAACCGUGAAACGUGCCGCCUGGGAAGUACGGUCGCAAGGCUGAAACUUAAAGGAAUUGGCGGGGGAGCACCACAACAGGUGGAGCCUGCGGUUUAAAUUGGACUCAACGCCGGGAAGCUCACCGGAUAGGACAGCAGAAUGAUUGCCGGGCUGAAGACCCUGCAUGACUAGCUGAGAGGAGGUGCAUGGCGUCAGUGACUGU
RNAcentral lists this ribosomal RNA (264 nucleotides) under uncultured archaeon. RNAcentral's name for it is "partial 16S ribosomal RNA". It matches the Rfam family "Archaeal small subunit ribosomal RNA", at positions 748 to 1010 of the family's 1478-position model. The record is from RNAcentral.